GCCUUUACUGACGCUAAAGCUCGAAGGUGCGGGUAUCGAACAGGAUUAGAUACCCUGGUAGUCCGCACGGUAAACGAUGGAUGCCCGCUGUUUGCGAUAUACAGUAAGCGGCCAAGAGAAAUCGUUAAGCAUCCCACCUGGGGAGUACGCCGGCAACGGUGAAACUCAAAGGAAUUGACGGGGGCCCGCACAAGCGGAGGAACAUGUGGUUUAAUUCGAUGAUACGCGAGGAACCUUACCCGGGCUUGAACUGCAGCGGAAGGAUACAGAGAUGUUGACGUCCUUCGGGACCGCUGUGGAGGUGCUGCAUGGUUGUCGUCAGCUCGUGCCGUGAGGUGUCGGCUUAAGUGCCAUAACGAGCGCAACCCUUUUCAUCAGUUGCCAUCAGGUGAUGCUGGGCACUCUGUUGAUACUGCCACCGUAAGGUGUGAGGAAGGUGGGGAUGACGUCAAAUCAGCACGGCCCUUACGUCCGGGGCUACACACGUGUUACAAUGGGGCAUACAGAAGGCAGGAUCAUGGCAACAUGGUUCAAAUCUUUAAAGUGCUCCUCAGUUCGGAUUGGGGUCUGCAACCCGACCCCAUGAAGCUGGAUUCGCUAG
Molecule: ribosomal RNA, 601 nt
Filed under: uncultured bacterium
Lineage: Bacteria
Description: bacterial SSU rRNA
Rfam family: Bacterial small subunit ribosomal RNA
Source: RNAcentral